GGAUGUAGCUCAGUGGUAGAGCAUUUGCCUAGCAUGCAUGAGGCCCUGGGUUCAAUCCCCAGUACCACCA
RNAcentral lists this transfer RNA (70 nucleotides) under Urocitellus parryii (Arctic ground squirrel). RNAcentral describes it as "Spermophilus parryii (Arctic ground squirrel) tRNA". It matches the Rfam family "tRNA". Rfam says of the family: Transfer RNA (tRNA) molecules are approximately 80 nucleotides in length. Their secondary structure includes four short double-helical elements and three loops (D, anti-codon, and T loops). The record is from Rfam by way of RNAcentral. Lineage: Eukaryota; Metazoa; Chordata; Mammalia; Rodentia; Sciuridae. RNAcentral also lists the same sequence under 2 other names.